CAUUUUGCCUCAACUCACAACGAUUCGCCACUUCAAUUCGAUACGACAAAUUUAACGAAAUUCGACCAAAAAUCGAGACGCGCGCGCUAAGUGCACCGUCGCCGCUGCAAUUUAAACGCGAAUAAAACGAAAUAACAAAGUCUAAUAAAUUAAAACAAACCAGAAAAAAAGACGAUUCGAAAUAUAUAUAUAUAUUUGAAACGUUAAAAACAACAACAAAAAUUGAAGAAGAAAAUAAAUUAACAAAACGGAAUUUUUCGCUGAAACUCACGCAACCACAGAAAGCAGUAAAUUAUAUUAACACACACACGCAUAUACAUAUUUACAUAUGUAUAUAAGCUAAAAGCUGCGAAAACGAGACGUGAAAAUUUUUAUUCGGCAUACAAAUUGAAUUGCCAAAAUUCAGUUAUCAAAAGAAUCUGUGAUUUGUGGUUAUAAGCGCGUUGCUUGGCCACCCGUAUCGGAGGAGCGUGUCGUUAGGGAAUUCACACCCCAACCAACUUCAGCUCAUUAUCCCGUUUCGGCUCCUUAUCAGCCACAACAGCAACAACAACAGCCAGCGCAACAGCACCAACCACAACACUUGCAGCAGCCGCAGCAUCAGCAGCAGCCAUCCCAUCAACAACAACAACCGAACGCUGCGCCAACUAGCCAGCCCCCACAACACAUUGGUCAGGAUCAACCCGAUCAACGGGCACUGCCAGUGCAACAACAACAACAAGCACCACAACCAUUGCCCCAAGAGUAUCGCGGCGGCAGUCCUGGUAUCAUAACAUUGCGCAAGGAGGCACCCGUCACACAGAAGCCUGCACCUGUUUACAACGCUCAGCCAGCGGCCGUUAGUUUUCAAGGAGGUAGCAACAUGCGCGGAGACUUGAAGUGGCCACCACCGGAGUACAAGGAGGCCGCAGUUCGCGAAAAUGAAGAACGCCGCAAACUGGCCCAGGGACCGGUAUGCCGUCCACGGAAAGUCAAUCGCGAUUACACAACGUUCUUCGCGAAGAAUGCGCUGAACAGCUAUUAUCCCAGCUACAAAGUACCACCAGGCACACAACACAUGUUGGCCUAAGUAUUUCAACAGCAAACUGAAUAACUAGACCCCGAAUACAAGUGAUAAUAAAAAAUUUUAAAAAUUAUUUUUAAAAAUAUAUAUAUAUAUAUUUCAGAAAAAAGUUAAAAAAAAAUACAAAUAUUUUUCAAAAACUUAGAAAAUUAACGAAAAAUGUUACUAAUAGUACAUUUUAACGAAAUGAAACAUCAACUAAUCACGAACUAACAAAAAAAAACAAAAAAAAACUCAGACCCACAAUGGGUGAAAUAUUAUUUAUUAAAAAUUUAUGUUUAUUAAAUACAUUAAUAGAAAGCAUUGAAAAAGUAAAACAAAAAAAAAACAGCGUCAAAUUUUAAACUAACGAAUUUUGUUCUCAAAUCUGUACAUGUUUAAAUAAAAAUAGCAGGAGAAUGUAGGCAGCGGAGAACCGCUUAGAAAUAAACGAAAUGCUUUGGUGUGAACGAUGAACAAUUCGACGAGUUUGCCUGCUGUUGUGCGGCUGUGAUCAACGAAGUCGCGGUGCGUUAAAAACUGCAAAAUGAUACACGGUACUACAACACCUACAACAACUACGCGCGCCACGGUGGCUUUGAACAUAACUGCGCAACGGGAGUGAACCAACCAAAUGCCAAGGCAUAUAAGAUUUUUUUUUCGUUAUUAAAAUUUUUUCAAUAUAAUUUUUUUUUUUGUUUAACGAAUUUAGUGAAUUUGUUGAAUUGCUCAAACGUAUAUGUAUGUAUGUAUAAAGGCAAAAUGCGAAUUCACUAUUUUAAUUUUAAGCAAAUCAAAUCAAACGACGUCCAAUCGAUGUAAAUUAGUUUUGUAUACAUAAAUACUUGGAAACCUACCAAACAAGAAAAAAAAAUAACGGUGGUUGAAGAACGUACAAAUGCGUUCCAUGAAGAUUCAACGCAGAAAUGAGUUUUCAAAUUAAAUAAAUUGAAAAUGCCAAUAAGAACUGGGCAGAAAAGAAUAUCAAAACUUUAAGCUGAAAACCAAAAUUAAAAAAAAAAAAUAACUAAAAAAAAAUUUAAAAAAAAAACGACUUUUGUUGCGAACUAAGGCUAAUUGAUAACGGUUAUAACGAUUUUGACAAAACGAUACAAUUUUAAUUGAAUUAAACACACAAGCAACUUCUUUGUGAAGAGCUUCAUUUUAUAUGCUGAAGAAGUUGCAGUUAGUUUGUUGAAUAAUUUGUUUAAUAAAUUAAAUGCAUAAAAUGCAAAUAUGGUUUCAUUUUUAAUUUUUAUUUCAUUUAAUAGUUAUUUACUGCAUAAAGAAAAAACUCAAAAAAAAAAAAAUUAAUAAAAAUAAUUAUUAAUAUAUAGUUAAUACAUAUAUAUAUAUAUAUAUUAAAUAAUAGUUAUCUCCAUUUAUUGUUAAGAAAAAGAGCAUACAAAUUAAGGAUAAUCAAAGAGCAACAACCCACACCAACAACCACAUAUAAACACAUAUGUGGGUUGUUAAUUAUAGUCUUAAGCGUAAUUGCAAAACAAAAGCAAAAUUUUAUUUUAUAAGAAAACAUAAGGCGAGGAGCAAAACAGGCACACAACACUUCAACAGGUUGUGUGGUCUUGUGCAAACUUAGUUAUAUACAUAUAUAUACAAAUGAAAACACUUAAACAUAUAUACUUACAUAUGUACAUUUAUGUGUACACUUGUACAUUGGCAUCUAGCACAGAAAUAUAAAAAAAAAACCUAUAUACGGAAAGAAUUUAUAAAAUCACUGUAUUACCUCAGUGGAAGAGCCACCUUGUGCCAUUAGCAUGGCCUGCCGCGGCCGGUGGGCGUACGCUGCGUAGGCUAUAUACUUUUUUUAAACAUCGAGGAUACCACAGUAUGGGUCUGCGGGGCGCGCCAAUCGACCAAAGGUCAAUGGUCAUGCAAAAUUGCAACAAUGUGAUAAUUACACUGUUUGUCAUUUAUGAUCAUCUAUUUAGAUACACAUACGCAGAUAUUAUACAUAUAAUAUAUACAUACAUAUAUACUUGCAUAAAUAACAUCUCACUAUUAUGUAUGUAUUUAUUUUUUGUAUAUUAUUUGCACUCGAAUACGAACAACCGGCAAUCCGUAAAGGCCUUACGACUAGACUAUGACAAAUAUCUAAACAUAAAUUGAUUCAAAAAACAAAAAAAAAAAAAACAAAAAUUAUUGAAAAAUGUUGAAAUAAAAUUAAAAUAAAAAUUAUAAUCAAAAUCACAUAGCGAAUGAUUUGAAUUCACCCCCAAAUCGUUCAAUAUGAAAAAUAUGGAAAUAAGAAAAAAAAUUCAAGCGAAAUUUGAAAACCAUUUGUAAUACCUACAUACAUACUACAUGUACAUAAAUGAUUGAUAACGAAUUGGUAUUUGAUAAUUACUUUGUAAAAUUCGUAAUUAUGUAAAAACAAAAACAAAAA
RNAcentral lists this unclassified non-coding RNA (3446 nucleotides) under Ceratitis capitata (Mediterranean fruit fly). RNAcentral describes it as "adhesive plaque matrix protein, transcript variant X1". The record is from RNAcentral. Lineage: Eukaryota; Metazoa; Arthropoda; Insecta; Diptera; Tephritidae.